RNA transcript from Helianthus annuus (common sunflower), 2263 nucleotides. It is a transcript of the gene named pre-mRNA-splicing factor PRP46, with no coding region annotated. The transcript is spliced from 9 exons. NCBI's taxonomy places the organism in Eukaryota, Viridiplantae, Streptophyta, Magnoliopsida, Asterales, Asteraceae. The record is from RefSeq and is a predicted model, not a curated record.
CUUCACUCAGAAAAACACACCCGGGUACACAAUUAGGGUUUCUCAUUCUCAUACCAUUCUAUCCGCCCCCAUCGAGCUGCUUCAUCUCCAGGCGAUUCAAAAGGAGAUCUAGGGUUUCUCUUGGCGAUGCAAAUGCAAGAUCUGGCUUUCUCAAUGACACCAGAUCAGCGAAUCUCUCUCUAUACGACACCCAAUCGACUGAGUUUGAAGGUGGUGAAGGGCUUGGAUCUGCCAAUCAGUGACGUAUGAGCAAGGGGGUGUUUGGUCUGCCAAUCGGUGAUGUAUGAGCAAGAUUUCACAAGAUCUAAAGACGGCGUGGUGUGUAGCGUUAAAUCCGACGACUACGCUUCCGGUGGUAUAAUUCUCAAGCCGAUCGGUGGCAAUAGAGACGAGUUCCGGUUUUAGAUGGUGGUUGAGGUAGGUUCCGACAAACUGAGUUGCAGAUCUAGGUUUCACCAGUUGGCGUAGGCGAUACUGCAUCAUCAAAAUGAAUGGUUUCUGAAUGGAGAUCCCUAAAGAUACUACACCCACAAACGGAGGUACCAGAUCUGGUGGUGAUGGCGGCUGGGUUUCGCCGCAGGCGGUAUAGACAUUUGUUCACACCCGAAUUGUACUGGUUGACUAACAAAGAAUGAUUUGUUUUUUGUUUUUUUUAAUAAUAUUUUUUGAAAUGAAAUUGGCGAGUUGGGUAAAGGGUCAAAACAGGUGCGGGUUUAAAUGGGUCAUUUUAAACUACUUGUUGAAACUGGCUGGGUCAAUCACAUUGGGUUUGGUUGACCCGUGGUAAACGCAUACCAUCCACCUUAAAAAAAUAGUAAAUGACCAAAAUUGAAACAAUGUUAAGUUGUUAACAAUCGGUUCUUUAGUUAGGUUGCAUAAUGUGCUAUUUUUACAGUCUGAUCAAAACACGAAGAGCCUAAAGGCAGAGCUCAGAGCCAUUCUUCCGGAACUAGAAGAAAUGAGGAAGAGGAAAUCCGAAAGAAAGAAUCUGUUCAUCGAAGUUUUAGAACAGAUACAAAGAUACAAAUGGAAAUUUACACAACUUCUGCUAAGACACUCUUGGAUGAAACUGAUUUAUCAUUAAGAAAAAUUGAAGAACUUCAUGUGCAGUUACAAGCACUUGAGAAACAGAAGAGUGAUCGAAUUAAGAAAGUUCUACCACAUGAACACGUUGAAUUCACUAUGUUUGGUGCUUAGAAUGGACUCUAAUCAGACGGUUCACGAAACUAAUCCUGGUUUAGCAUAAACCGAAGGAACAAAGAUUCUAAGUAACGAUGCGAUCAUGAGUCUCGCUACUGCUAUACGUAAAUUGCAUGAGGUCAAAAUUGAGAGAAUGCCAUGAGUCAUUAGUGGCCAUUUGGGGUGGGUGAGAUCUGUUGCGUUUAGUCCAAAUAACGAGUGGUUUUGUACCGGUUCUGCAGAUCGAACGAUUAAGAUUUGGGAUACUGGAUCAGGACGGUUAAGGUUGACACUAACAGGGCAUAUAGAACAAGUUAGAGGAACCCUGCUACUUUUCUUCAUGCAUACACUUGUCUUCCCCUUGCUUACGCUACAAGGCAAGCUGCUGAUGCUAUUUUGCAAGAUGUUGCUGAUACGGGUGUCGUUUACCUUGAAAGGGAUCGUUUACCUUCCACUGAAAACUAUAUGUUCAAGGUUCGAAAAAAUACCAUUGGUGCGCUUUAAUUACUGGGAAUACCGUAUGAAGUUAUCUGAAUAACAAUUUCAUACGAUGAUAUCUUAUAAAUUCACUUGUGCAUUAGGUAUAUACCAAGUAUCGUAAAACCUCAAGUUGCUUGUGGUGUAGCUGGUUUUAACCAAAAUGUAUACAACUAAAAUCAGACUGUUUUAAAAAGUGGCCAGUUUAGUUUGUGCAGAACGGCUUCAGACCAUCUGCUGGGGCAACAAGUCGUUGUGGGUUUCGACCAACAUGCGUACGAACGAAAACAGACUGUUUUAAAAAUUGGCUCAUUUGGUUUUUUGGGUCAGCAUGUGUUCAGGUCAUCAGUCUGGCUAACGGGACCUAGCAAGUUCGGGUUCAUGGAAAGAAAACAAUUAAAAACAUCCAUCAAGAUAUUGAAAUGAUCCAUGGGAAGUAUGUACCCUAUCAGUUCUUGGUGUACUGGUUGCUUAUUAUGUAUGUAAUAAAUCAAGCUUGCAGAUAUUCAUAACUAAAUUUCAGUUUACCUUGUAUACAUUAUAUGAACCCAAUGUGUAGAGAAAAAAGCUUUAGUUUUAUAAAUUGAGCUUUAUUUUGGUUUUUGAA